RNAcentral lists this non-coding RNA (24 nucleotides) under Cricetulus griseus (Chinese hamster). The record is from RNAcentral. Lineage: Eukaryota; Metazoa; Chordata; Mammalia; Rodentia; Cricetidae.
GCUAGAGUUAUCUGAAAAGAGGGA